CUACGGGCUGCAGCAGCUGAGGAAAUUUUACAAUGCUCGUAAGAGUGAUAAAAUAAACCAGAGUGUUUUUCUAUGAAAAACUUUUGUCUGAUGUAAAAAGUCAGACGAAUAAGGACUGGGCAAGACCGGUGCCAGCCGCCGCGGUAAUACCGGCGGUCCGAGUCGCAUCCACAUUUAUUGGGUCUAAAACAUUCGUAGCUUGUUUUGUAAGUUUCUUGUGAAAUCUCAUGUCUCAAGCAUGAGGCGUGCAAGAAAUACUGCAUUACUAGAGACCGGAAGACGUAAGGAGUAUGAUUAAGGUAGUGGUAAAAUACGUUAAUCUUAAUCAGACUAACAAUGGCGAAGGCACCUUACGAGUACGGAUCUGACAGUGAGGGAUGAAGGCUAGGGGCGCGAAAGGGAUUAGAUACCCCAGUAGUC
Molecule: ribosomal RNA, 420 nt
Filed under: uncultured archaeon
Lineage: Archaea
Description: partial 16S ribosomal RNA
Rfam family: Archaeal small subunit ribosomal RNA
Source: RNAcentral